GACUCUAGUAGGUCACAAACGGCUUUACUUAUUUACACCUCUAGAUAUAUUUAAAAGAAAGAUUAAUGGUUUUGGAGUGCAACUUUAAACACCACCGUCUUAUAAAGGUUUUUAAAACCGGACCGGACCGGCUGGUUUAAUCGGAGACCUGUGGUGCCGGCGGUCCGGUCAUAGCCUUUAAACCGUUUUCGCAGUAACCGGCCGGCCAAACCGGUGGCCGGUGGUUGAACCGGAAACCCGGUGUAAACAAGGGUUGGGCCGGACUUCUCUUCCAUCAGCAGAUUUACCAUGGUUGGAGUUUUUUUUUCCGGUCAGUCUGCAUCUGCUACGAGAAGAAGAUAAACCGUGUGGUGAUGAGAAAUUACAGAUCUAAAAGAUGAAGGAUCUGAAUAGAGAAGAAUAUGAAUGGUUUUUUUAUGUAUUUUCUUCCAUUUUCACAUAUCAGAGAAAGAAAAGUAGAAAUAGGUAGAAGAAAGAGUGGUCAAGAAGUUAAAGUGACCAAUGGAAUUGGUCAAAUCUAAAAACUCCCUUACCAAUUAAUAAUUCAUCAAAUACUAAGAAUAUGCCAAAUAAUUAACCAACCAAUCAUAAUUCACAUAAACAAAUUCAUUUAUAUUUUAAAUCUAAUUAAACUGUAUUUAAAUUCAAAUACUAUCUGUAUUGAAGUUAUUAGUUUGGUCUUGGUUAAUUUCUUAUUAAAAUAUAUUAAUUAAACUCUUUAUAAAAAGUUGUGUUUUAAUUUUGUAUAUCAUCAAACUUAUUAUGUUCUUUGUAAUUUUUGAUGUUUUUAUCUUAUAAAAUAUAUAUUAUUUAUAAUGUUAUCCGGUUUUUAAAUCUGGUCCGACUGAUCCGACCGGUUCGACUAGUGAACUAGUAAGAAGAUCGGUUCGAUGUUCGGUGAUUGGAUUUGGAUCAAGUGGUUUGGGUCCAUGAUUUAA
RNAcentral lists this long non-coding RNA (938 nucleotides) under Helianthus annuus (common sunflower). Its description in RNAcentral is "hypothetical non coding rna". Lineage: Eukaryota; Viridiplantae; Streptophyta; Magnoliopsida; Asterales; Asteraceae. The record is from RNAcentral.